This 439-nucleotide ribosomal RNA is filed under the name uncultured bacterium. RNAcentral describes it as "partial 16S ribosomal RNA". It matches the Rfam family "Bacterial small subunit ribosomal RNA", at positions 339 to 795 of the family's 1533-position model. The record is from RNAcentral.
CUACGGGUGGCAGCAGUGAGGAAUAUUGCACAAUGGGGGGAACCCUGAUGCAGCAACGCCGCGUGGAGGAUGACGCAUUUCGGUGUGUAAACUCCUUUUAUAUGUCAAGAAAAUGACGGUAGCAUAUGAAUAAGCACCGGCUAACUCCGUGCCAGCAGCCGCGGUAAUACGGAGGGUGCAAGCGUUACUCGGAAUCACUGGGCGUAAAGGACGCGUAGGCGGGUUGGAAAGUCAGGUGUGAAAUCCUACAGCUUAACUGUAGAACUGCACUUGAAACUUCUAAUCUAGAGUAUGGGAGGGGGAGUUGGAAUUAGUGGUGUAGGGGUAAAAUCCGUAGAUAUCACUAGGAAUACCUAAAGCGAAGGCGAUCUCCUGGAACAUUACUGAUGCUAAGGCGUGAAAGCGUGGGGAGCAAACAGGAUUAGAUACCCCAGUAGUC